GAUGAACGCUGGCGGCGUGCCUAAUACAUGCAAGUCGAGCGAACAGACGAGGAGCUUGCUCCUCUGACGUUAGCGGCGGACGGGUGAGUAACACGUGGAUAACCUACCUAUAAGACUGGGAUAACUUCGGGAAACCGGAGCUAAUACCGGAUAAUAUAUUGAACCGCAUGGUUCAAUAGUGAAAGACGGUUUUGCUGUCACUUAUAGAUGGAUCCGCGCCGCAUUAGCUAGUUGGUAAGGUAACGGCUUACCAAGGCAACGAUGCGUAGCCGACCUGAGAGGGGGAUCGGCCACACUGAACUGAGACACGGUCCAGACUCCUACGGGAGGCAGCAGUAGGGAAUCUUCCGCAAUGGGCGAAAGCCUGACGGAGCAACGCCGCGUGAGUGAUGAAGGUCUUCGGAUCGUAAAACUCUGUUAUUAGGGAAGAACAAAUGUGUAAGUAACUAUGCACGUCUUGACGGUACCUAAUCAGAAAGCCACGGCUAACUACGUG
Molecule: ribosomal RNA, 496 nt
Filed under: uncultured bacterium
Lineage: Bacteria
Description: partial 16S ribosomal RNA
Rfam family: Bacterial small subunit ribosomal RNA
Source: RNAcentral